Molecule: RNA transcript, 4026 nt
Organism: Humulus lupulus (European hop)
Lineage: Eukaryota; Viridiplantae; Streptophyta; Magnoliopsida; Rosales; Cannabaceae
Gene name: CRM-domain containing factor CFM2, chloroplastic
Exons: 17
Source: RefSeq, a predicted model, not a curated record
AACUAGCUUCAUCUUUGCGAGUGUGGUAUGUUUGUACUUUGUUGUAGGAGUCCCUUCCUCCCUCCUUAUCUUUUGAAUCCCAAAUUCCAUGACGUACUGAAAAAUGUCGGCCCCUCUAACUCAACUACUCACCCCAACUCUCCCGCCAAAACCCCCAACUCACCACCCAUUUCCACUCUUCUUCUCCUUCUCCUCACCGCCGCUUCUCACUGCCCGCUGCCGGACCUCACACAAGUUCAUUAUCCGGAGCUCCAAUUCCAACUCCGACACCCAAACAAUACUCCCCAAGUCCGCCAUCCAGAGAAUCGCCGAGAAGCUCCGAGGUCUCGGCUUCACAGAAGAAACCCCGUCUCAGGAACCCGAACCCGCCACCAAAUCAACCCCCGGUGAAAUUUUCUUACCGUUGCCGAACCGGUUGGUCAAUCACCGUGUCGGUCACACCAUCGACACCAGCUGGAGCACGCCGCACAAUCCGGUUCCGGAGCCGGGCACGAGUACGGGCAUUAAGAGGUUUCAUGAACUCAGGGGCCAAGUGAGGCAGCAGAAGCAGGAGAAGAAGAACGAUGGGUCGACGAAGAAGACGAGGGAGUCCAGGGUUCCGACGCUAGCGGAGCUAACCUUGACUAGGGCGGAGCUGAGGAGGUUGACCACAUUAGGGAUUGAGUUGAAAAAGAAGCUCAAGGUAGGGAAGGCUGGGAUUACGGAAGGAAUUGUGAAUGGGAUUCACGAGCGGUGGAGACGAUCGGAGGUCGUCAAAAUCUUUUGUGAGGAUCUUUGCAGGAUGAACAUGAAGAGGACGCAUGAGUUAUUGGAGAAAAAAACUGGAGGUUUGGUCGUUUGGAGGUCUGGAAGUAAGAUAGUAUUAUAUAGAGGGAAGAAUUAUAAGUAUCCCUACUUUCUUAGCAAUACAAUUUCGAGUGAGGAGACCUCUCAUGGUACAUUAACAGAUCCACUUAGUGAAGAUAAUGAACCGAAUGAGCCCAGUACUUCUAGCGUGGAUGGAGUAAUUUCAACUGAAGAGGCCUCUCCUGGCGCAUUAGCUGAUUCACUAAGUGACGAUGAUGAACAGAAUGAGACUCAUACUUCUAGUAUGGAUGGAGUAAAAGUUGAUGCUUCACUUCCCUCGAAUAAAAUGGCUAAACCUGCUUUGAUCCAAGGUGUUGGCUUACGAAAUAGGGUGCGAUUUCAGCUGCCAGGAGAAGUACAAAUUGCAGAAGAAGCUGACCGCAUGCUAGAUGGAUUGGGUCCACGUUUUUCCGAUUGGUGGGGUUAUGAUCCUCAGCCUAUAGAUGCUGAUCUUCUUCCUGCUGUUGUUCCUGGAUACAGGAGACCUUUUCGGCUUCUUCCUUAUGGUGUGCAGCCUAAACUCACAGAUGAUGAAAUGACCACAUUGCGGAGACUUGCUCGGCCAUUACCAUGCCAUUUUGCAUUGGGCAGAAAUAGGAAACAUCAGGGAUUGGCAGCUUCUAUUGUCAAGCUUUGGGAAAAAUGUGAAGUUGCUAAGAUUGCUGUUAAAAGAGGGGUGCAGAACACUAAUAGUGAACUGAUGGCAGAAGAGUUAAAGAGUUUGACUGGAGGAACUCUUAUUGCCCGGGAUAGAGAAUUUAUAGUGUUAUAUAGAGGGAAAGAUUUUCUACCACCUGCAGUUUCUUCUGCAAUAGAAGAAAGGAGGAAAUAUGUAAUGCAGGGAAAGAAACUGAGCACAGAGCACACCACAUCAAUUAAAGUGGCGCAGGAUGAACUUGAGACCACACCAAGUGGUCCAAACGAACAUAGUGAGAUUCGUGAACAGAGACAGCUAACGUUUACUGAGGCUUCUGUUAGAAAAACUAGUCUUAAUUUGUCUGUGGCCUUGGAAAAGAAAGCUAAAGCAGAGCAACUUCUAGCUGAGUUGGAGAAGGCAGAGAUGCGCCAAGCUCCUGAAACAGAUAAAGAGGGUAUAACUGAAGAGGAAAGAUAUAUGCUGAGGAAGAUUGGUUUGAGAAUGAAUGCCUUCCUACUAAUGGGUAGACGGGGUGUUUUUGAUGGAACAAUUGAAAACAUGCAUCUUCAUUGGAAGUAUAGGGAACUAGUGAAGGUUAUAACUAAUGAGAAAAGCUUGGAAGCUGUUCACCAAGUAGCACGGACCUUAGAGGCAGAAAGCGGUGGGAUACUAGUAUCAGUGGAAAGGGUGAGUAAAGGCUAUGCAAUCAUUGUGUAUCGUGGAAAAAAUUAUGAGCGGCCUGCUACUUUGAGGCCUAAGACACUUAUGAAUAAGAAAACAGCAAUGAAACGCUCUUUUGAGGCACAGCGUCGUGAGUCACUGAAACUCCAUGUUUUGAGAAUCAAUAAACAUAUAGAUGACUUAAAGCUUAGAAUGGUUAAAGAGAAGGAAGCCAAUGACAAGCAGUCAAUUGUUGAAUCAAAUUCAAGUAAUAUGGUUCAAGAUAAGGUGAAUGAGAUAGAAUCAGCUGAAAGUUUGAUGGUUGAUGCUGAAGUGAAGCAUGGCUCUAUCUCUCUUCCCACAACUUCUAGGGAAGAGAUUGUUGCGGUUAAAGAAAAUGAUGUGAAUAAAAUACAGUCAGCUGGUGAUUCAGAUCUAAGUAACGUGGUUGGAGAUAAGGUGAAUGAGACAGAAUCAGUUGAAGGUUUGAGGUUUGAUGCUGAAGUCCAACAUGGUUUUCUCUCUUUUCCAACAACUUACGUGGAAGAGAUUGUUGCGUCCAAGGGAAUGAGCGAUACUCCUGCUGACGAUGCCCAGCAUGGUAGUUCUGAUAACAAAGCACUAGAGUCAUUUACAGACAAAAAUGAACUGGAACCAUCAGUUCCAAUUAAGAUAGAAAAUGGAUUGACUGAGAUGCCGUCUACAACUGUACAACUUUCCAACAGAGAGAGGCUUCUUCUCCGGAAGCAAGCCCUUAAGAUGAAAAAACGCCCUGUAAUUGCUGUAGGGAAGAGCAACAUUGUAACAGGCGUUGUUAAAACAAUCAAGGCCCACUUUCAAAAGCAUCCUCUUGCUAUAGUUAAUGUGAAAGGCAGAGCAAAAGGGACGUCUGUACAGGAAGUCAUUAUCAUGCUUGAGCAAGCAACUGGCGCGGUUCUAGUUUCUCAGGAGCCUAGCAAAAUCAUACUUUACCGAGGUUGGGGUGCAGGGGGCAGUUUCGAUCAAUCUGGUAAGAACAGGAGCGAUGCAAAUGCAAGGAGAAAACUUGGGACUCAGCCUGGCGUGUCUCCUGAACUCUUGGCAGCAAUCAAAACUGAAUGUGGGUUUGAGUCUCAAAACAAGGAAGACGCAUCAUCUCCAUAGCAUUUUAACAGAAGUAAAUAGGAACAGGUACAGUGUGAGGAACUUAAACAGUGAGGUGAACCUUCUAAAAUGUCCGCCUACUGUUUAUAGCUGGUUGAUAUUUGGGAGUUAUUUUACAAAGUACAAACCAAUCCUUGACUUGGAGAAGAGGACAUUGUAAUUGAAGAUUUGCUGGCCGAAGCAGAUUAGCAAUAAUGGGAGAUGGGAAAACGAAUGCUGUUCUGUCUCACAUUGAACUUUUCGUAACAUGGGGAAUUGAGCUUUUGCAUUCUUCUGGUCCGGGCCAUCGUCUUUGCCACGUCUUCAUCAGUUUUAUUACCAAUUCUGUCAUAGCCUGUUUCUUAUCAAAGCUGAUGCAUUUAUUUAAAGUAAAAUGAAUAAAAAAACAAAAGAGUUUGCAGGCUUCACGACAAGAGAGAAUGAAUCAAAAAGUGACAGGAGUAGGAAGGAAGGAAGGAGCUCCAACCGCCAGCCUUUUCAAAAUCAUACCAUGGGCCACAAAUUUCAUCAAUAUUGUAAUGAGCAAGUUUUUGGCGUGACUAAUAUAGUGUGGUUUGCAGGGACCAUUAACUCCCACUCUUAAAUAGUUGAGAUUCCAAAACAUCAUAAUACUGUUAUUUUCAAUUAUUGGGGUUGGAUUUUAUUCCUACGGCUCAUAAUAGUUUUAUUAAUUAUUAAAGCUAAAUUUAAACAAAAUCCAACUCAUUAAUAAUAUACUUUGUGGAGCAGAAUUAUUCAUG